Molecule: ribosomal RNA, 269 nt
Filed under: uncultured bacterium
Lineage: Bacteria
Also listed under: 1 other name
Description: partial 16S ribosomal RNA
Rfam family: Bacterial small subunit ribosomal RNA
Source: RNAcentral
GAGCACGUAGGUGGGUUUGUAAGUCAGAUGUGAAAGCCUUCUGUUCAACGGAAGAAUUGCAUCUGAAACUGCGAAUCUUGAGUAUAGGAGGGGAGAAUGGAACUUCUGGUGGAGCGGUGAAAUGCGUAGAUAUCAGAAGGAACGCCGGCGGCGAAAGCGAUUCUCUGGCCUAUUACUGACACUCAGUGUGCGAAAGCUAGGGGAGCAAACGGGAUUAGAUACCCCGGUAGUCCUAGCCGUAAACGAUGGGCACUAAGUAGAGGGGUUUU